UGGGGAAUAUUGCACAAUGGGCGCAAGCCUGAUGACGCAACGCCGCGUGGGGGAUGAAGGUCUUCGGAUUGUAAACCCCUGUCGAAUGGGACGAAAGACUCGCGAGUUAAUACUUCGCGGGAGUGACGGUACCGUUAAAGGAAGCCACGGCUAACUCUGUGCCAGCAGCCGCGGUAAUACAGAGGUGGCAAGCGUUGUUCGGAAUUACUGGGCGUAAAGGGCGCGUAGGCGGCCUACUAAGUCAGACGUGAAAUCCCCCGGCUUAACCUGGGAACUGCGUCUGAUACUGGAAGGCUUGAGUAUGGGAGAGGGAUGUAGAAUUCCAGGUGUAGCGGUGAAAUGCGUAGAUAUCUGGAGGAAUACCGGUGGCGAAGGCGGCAUCCUGGACCAUUACUGACGCUGAGGCGCGAAAGCUAGGGGAGCAAACGGGAUUAGAUACCCACGUAGUCCCUGAGCGGGCUGGCAAGGCGCAU
This 473-nucleotide ribosomal RNA is filed under the name uncultured bacterium. RNAcentral's name for it is "bacterial SSU rRNA". It matches the Rfam family "Bacterial small subunit ribosomal RNA", at positions 355 to 825 of the family's 1533-position model. The record is from RNAcentral.